UAUACACCCUUUCAGUUAUUAACUGAUUAUAAUUACCUCCCCUGAAUGACGUCAUCCGGGGAUACCCGAUUAUCGACUGUAAGCAAACAAAGAGAUGUCUGUUUGACAAUGUGUGUUUUCAACGGUGUAAAUGGACUUAAAAUAUGAACGAAAAGAUUAAUGACCACGACUAUGCUGUCCAGUUUUACACAGCAACACCAGUAUUCGACUCAAAACCGGAUGGAAAACAGAUUCAAGACAUUACUGUAUCACUCGAGAAGAAGUUGAAGUCUAACAGGAUCUGCUGUGUGCCCAAAUGUCACACCACUGGCUAAGGAUUGUUAGAAGGCCAUGGAAAGCCCAGCUAUCAUGCAUUUCCAGCUGAAGAUGAUCCAGUUCAAGCUGUUUGGUUGAAUAAAAUACGAAGAGAUGAAGACAGACAUUUUAAGAUAAGUCACAAUACGGUUGUCUGUUUUCUCCAUUUUGAACGUGACUGUCUUGAUGAAUCUGGAUUUGCUAAGCGGAGGUAUCUAAAACCAGGAGCCAUCCCUACACUAUUCGACUGCUGGAAGGACAAACCGCAUCUGUUGAAGCGAAUUCAAGUGGAACGUGCAAUUAACAAGAUUAAAAGUUUUCACAUAUUUGAUCAGGUCAUUCUGGUUUCUCUGUUUGGGAUAAUUAAUCAAAUUUGGACAGUUUGCUCAUUGCUCACUCUUUUCCAAGACCCAAUUAUACCAUGUCCUGGUGUUUAACAUACAUACCAUUUAUAUGAACAUUUGUUGUUCGUUUACAUCAUACUACAUGUAGGCUAAUGAAAAACCAUUGGCUGUUCAUGUAAUAUUUGUACAUUUUUUGGCUUUGUAUAAAGUUUUUGAUAAUUAUCUUGAUAUAAGCAUUGAUUUAGUUACAGAUUAAUGCUUAAAGAGUACUUAAAGCUACACACCUUGAAAUAAAGUACAUGUUCAUAUAGAUGCAAUUUGAAAGUGUGCAAAAUUUUCAUUAAAUCUAUAGUCUAGUUAGCAAGUAAUUUAUUAUUUUUCAAACAGGAAUAACUGCUUUUAAAACUGAAAGAAGGAUUUCUAUAUUAAACACGAUUAUUUUUAACUUUUUAAAGCGCAAAAAAAGAUGGCUUUCUACCUUGUUACCACCAGAUAUAUUCUAGUUGGCAUAAUAAAAUUAAAUCUAUAGCCUAGUUUAAUAGCAAGUUAUUUUUUUUUUCAAACAGUACUGCUUUUAAAACCGAAAGUAGGAUUUCCAGACGUACACAUCCAUUUCGACAAACGCGAUUAUUUUUAAGUUGUAAAGUGCAAAAAAGAUGGAUUUCUACCUUGUAACCACCAGAUAUAUUCUAAUUGGCAUAGAUAAAAUAUGUCACUCAUACUUAAAUUUACUAUGCCAAAUAAGGUGUGUGGCCUUUACAUAAAAAUUGUAUAUACAUCUUUUUAAUCAUGUUUGUUAAUUUGUUUUGAUUGUAUGACUACUGAAUAAAUAAUUUUGUUAAUAGAAA
This is a long non-coding RNA of Dreissena polymorpha, 1486 nucleotides long. RefSeq lists it as uncharacterized. The record is from RefSeq and is a predicted model, not a curated record. NCBI's taxonomy places the organism in Eukaryota, Metazoa, Mollusca, Bivalvia, Myida, Dreissenidae. The transcript is spliced from 4 exons.